Hemibagrus wyckioides is the source of this 2200-nucleotide long non-coding RNA. RefSeq lists it as uncharacterized. The record is from RefSeq and is a predicted model, not a curated record. The transcript has 3 exons. NCBI's taxonomy places the organism in Eukaryota, Metazoa, Chordata, Actinopteri, Siluriformes, Bagridae.
GUCUCCUACAGGAUCUUUUUAUACCCUGCUCUAUGACUUCAAAACAACAAACCAUCUUUUUAUGAUUCAUCUGAGCUUCUCGUCUGAGCUGCUGAACGAAUAAAGCUGUGAACGUCUUCUCUCUCAAAACAUCAACACAGAGCGUUCCUGACCUUGUUAACAUCAUCCAUCUGUGACUGGGAGAAGAGUGGAUUUAAAGAUUAGUUUUAUUGAAGUGCUUCGAUACGAGAGCGGCUCACACGACUGAGCGCAGGCCAGUUACACACUCCACAAGAGCCUUCAGUGACAAUUUACAGUGAAACUAAACAUGUGCAUGGAUGUGUGUCUCCUGUGUGGAGUGAGUCAGUAACAUCAGGGCUGGAUCACGUGACACUGCACACAACACUGUGACGCGGUUCAACAUCCUGCAGCUCGAGACAAAGUCAAAAGUUUUAACCAACAAUUAAGAUAAAAAAUAAGUUAUACAAUGAUACUGUUAUGUUAUUUUAACAUUAAUAUAAAUACUACACUUCACACAGCUGCUUUGGGUCUGUAAUGAUGUCGGUCUACUGCAUCAGUUAAUAUGAAGCUCUUGAAACGACACAUCUGGAUUUUCAACACGCUGCAGAAUAAAGAAGGUUAUUUCUGAGGUGUAACAAACAUUUAAAGUUCAUCAGCCCAACACUCCCUCCUCUGUGUUUCAGAUCAGGAGAUGCUACAGGGGUUUAAAAACAACAAAAACGCUGCUCCCGAGCACGCACUGUGUCUCUUUCACUUUUAAGAAGGCACUGCAGUGUGUGUGUGUAUGUGUGUCAUUCAUAUCCACAAACACGAUUACAAAACACGCCCGAGCUACACAGACCAGUGAGACUCUAAUAGCUGAAUGAGAAAUAAUGCAUUCAGCUCUUCAGACACACCCCCUCAAGUCGCACCAUCAGGGCUGAGGUUCUGAAUCAACCAAUCAGAAAUAUCUGGACACCACAGGAAACUGAUUUCCAAUGCCAAGGUGUAGGAAAAAGAAAAAUGUGACUCAAAACUUUGAGUGACAUUUUCUGUAUGGUUUUCCAGUUGCGGUAGAAGUUUUGCUGAAAUCUGGCAACCCUGAACACCAGCCCACAUUAGCCUGCAUGAUCCACACCAACUCUGACUUUAAGGUUCAGUUCAUUGAACUUAAUCAUGCAUGAAUGUUUAAUCAAUAAAUUAUUAAAAUAUUCCUUCAGCACUGUGUCAAAAAUAUAGUUUAGUCACACCAUUGUGUCUUGUCUAAUUGGGAAUUUUGUGUAUGAUGACAUACUUUAUCUCUAGAAUACAGACACAUGCAGUGGUAUUCAUUCACCAGGAAAUCCUCAGUGUGUAAAAUGAACAGUGGAAAUCCUUCAGAGUCUGGGAGGAAACCUGAAGGUCCUUUUCACUAAAAGCCAGAAUGCUUAAUACCAUAUCUACAGAGAUGGCUGGCACAAAAACAACAGAUUCAAUUACAUUUAAGUAAACUGAUGCUGUGUUUAAAGUAAAUCUCAGCUGCGUUAUUGACGAGAGUGAUCAUCUUGUGUGUGAUGAUGCGUCUCUGAGCCCUACGAAGUUUGCCACGGCCUAAACCAUCACACAGCAUUGUGCUUCUGUCCUGGAUUGUGUGUUAAACAUUGAAUUAGGAUUAUAAAUGUCAUUUUAAAGCAAAGUCACAGACAUCAUUUCAGCACACAUCAGUGAUCUGCAAAUCAUGCAGCAGCUGACUUACUACUUAAAGAACAAUGUAGUUAGAGGUGUAAAUGCAUUAAGAGUAAACUCAAUAUUAUUAAAUAGAUCAAACUUUUAUACAAAUGUAAAUAGCUACAUCUCUCCAUACCGCUUCUGAUAACCAACCCCACUUUAUAUCAUAACACACGUGUUUACUGAACUUCUGUGAGUUUACAAAAAGAAUCACAGUGUACACAGCGAUCAUGCUCAACAUGUAGAACAACCGAAUGGAGGAAAACUGUCCGGAUUUAUGAGCUGAUAUACAGCACACAUGAUCACAGCAGAUAUCUGGAGAUAGAUUAAAGGACCAGUGUGAAUGUGUACAGUUAAAGUGACCUCAGGAUACACUCCAAGCUGUGUGACCGGACCGGGUGUGAAAGGGUCUGAAUUAACAUGUGAGAUUGUUUGUUUUUUAAAAAUAUGAACUAAACAGGAUUGCUGUUAGUCAAAUAUACUGUAUGAUUAAAAAUCAGCUUUAUUCAUGUGA